CAUUGUAUGCAUCACAUUAAUCAUUUCACAUAGGCAGACAUUUAAAAAAAACUUGGGUAAUUUUAAAACAAAGAUGCAUCAUCUUAAACUCAAUAAUAAUACAACUGUAUCUUGUAAAGCAGGCUUAAUUCAUACAAACUCUGUCCCCAAACAGAGUAUUUAUAAAAUCCUUAGAUGUUUGUUUCUCUGUAUUGUUUUGUCCCCUCUAGUGACUUUUCCCAUGGGUGUGUACAUAUAUAAUGUUGUAAUUAAUCUUAUUCAACAGCUGAUACACACAGGGUGUUUUCUAUUUCAUAUUUGUAUUGUAUAGUUGGCUAAAUGUAUUAUAUAGUUAGUCUGAACUGUGUUUUGCACCUCAGGACACAUCCAGUACAGUUUUGCUUUUGUCUGAAAGGUGGGGGUUGCUACUUUUGUUUUACUUUACUUUAGUACGACCAGCUCCCUCCCUUUUUUUGCUCCCUUCUACUAGCUUUUGUAAAUGCUGUGGGGUUUUCAUGUUUUUAAUUUCAGACUUAAAAAAACUCCUCCUGAAUGAUAAAGAUACUCUGUCCCCCAAAUGCUUGACAAAUUGUUACAGCCACAAAAACUAAAUACAAAUAAUACCUGAGGGAGUGUGAGAAAAAUGAAGUAGUCCAAGAAAGGAACAAAAAAGGACGCAUUCAGAUGGGACUUGAAAAUGGGUGGAGUUGAAGCAGUGAGAAAAAGGACUGUUCUAGCAAGGAGGAGCUGGAAUGAAAAAGGGUGUUGCACCACUAAUAAUGAAAAUGCAAGGAGGAUGGUGCUACAUGAGAGGAAGGAAAGCAGUGGAUAUAGAAAAAAAGAAAGAAAGAAAAGGGACAACAUGCUGCUGCCAGGUAAGGAUGCUCUAAGUUUGGCUGGAUUCUUCAAUUAGGGCAUUCUUCCCAACAAUGAAGGAAUCACCAGGGAGGAUAGGUAGGCUUAGAUAACUCAUCUUACUAUGCUAGGAGUCGCUGCCACAGGUAUACUAUGCUCUAUGCUCCAGUGCUCAGUGACUGCUGGACUGGCCCCUUGAAACUUUUGUUAGCCAGCAUCAUAUACAGUAGCUCUAAAACUGCUGUAAGUUGUGUCCUGGUGCUGGCCUGGUGCCCGCUAGCAUGGGGCUAGCAAAGCUAAAAUGAUGGCUUUCAGCUUUACAUACACCCUUAAUUUUGAGGGCUGUCUGCCAAAAGUUAAACAGCUGAUCCAAAGGAUUUGGCCUGUAGUCUAUGGGAAAAGCUGGGUCCAGUUAUGAGAUACAUUUAAAUCAAGAAAUACAAACAUGAACUACAGCUUGUUAAAAAUGUAUAUGUAUUAAAAGCACUUGUACUGAAGAGCAAUAUUUAUGUUUUACCUGUGGUUGGCAUAUACUUCCAACUCCAUUAGCCUUGGCUUGACUGUAACAGCACCAAAGUGGAAGACAAAUACAUUCUUCCCUGUCCCUCAGUAGUUGGUGACAAAACCACUGGCUGAAUUGGGGGUUGAAUUGCUGUGCCCUUGAAAACCCAGGCUGCAGUAGUUCUCUCCAUUAUCUAGCACCGAAGAGGCAUUGUGACUUUUAAAAAAAUACCUGACACCACCUCUGUGGCUGUAUUUCCUCCCACACUGUCAUGUAGCUCUGCUUCAAGAGAUCCAUUCACUGAGAAAAUAAUGUUCUGAAGUAUAUUUAAUAUAUUAGCCUUGAGAAUAUUAUACCAGCUUCCACCAAGCAAUGAAAGUAAAUUAUAACACCUGGAAGGAAAGGUUUUUGACUAACUGAACAUAAACCACCAGGUCUUAAGAAAAUAUUCAUAACCUCCAAUCUAGCUUAUUCAAGCACAACCAGAAGAUACUGUUCUAAAGUCCUGUUCUAAUCAGCUGUGCUACCUUUUUGGUUUAGAAGUGUUUCAUAUUCACUUUGCUGUGGUAUAAAUAAUUAUGCCCCACAGCAGAUCAGGACAAUGGAGAAUCACAUGCAACAACCUCUAAGGCCCCUCUGCACAUUACACUUAAGUAUAAUUACACCAGUUAAUCACACUUUAAGUUGUGACCCAGCUACACAUUCAACCAGUUAAUGGAAUGAUAAAACGAACUAUA
This is a long non-coding RNA of Gavialis gangeticus (Gharial), 2073 nucleotides long. RefSeq lists it as uncharacterized. The record is from RefSeq and is a predicted model, not a curated record. The transcript is spliced from 3 exons. Lineage: Eukaryota; Metazoa; Chordata; Crocodylia; Gavialidae.